This is a non-coding RNA of Cottoperca gobio, 469 nucleotides long. Lineage: Eukaryota; Metazoa; Chordata; Actinopteri; Perciformes; Bovichtidae. The record is from the annotation of a RefSeq genome assembly.
UCUGUGUGUUUGCAUACGUGUCCUGCCUCUCUGCUCCCAGCCGUUAAGAGAUCAGAGUUGAUCGGUGGCUGUCCAGGCCUUUCAGAGACACUGACACGCCGGCAGCACAAUGAUGAUGUCACUGAUUCUACUGCUGGUCACCCUGGGGCUCCUUGUUCAGGAUUCAUCAGGAGAUAUCAUCCUGACUCAGUCUCCUGCAUCUCAGUCUGUUGUUCCAGGUCAGACUGUCUCUAUCAGAUGUAAAGCCAGUUCAACUGCCAGUACAUACCUUAACUGGUACCUCCAGAAACCUGAUGAACCUCCCAAACUCUUGAUUUAUUAUGCUACUAAUCGUCAGUCUGGAGUUUCAGGUCGUUUUAGUGGAAGAGGAUCUGGGACUGCCUUCACUCUGAGCAUCAGUGGAGUUCAGACUGAAGAUGCAGGAGAUUAUUACUGUCAGCAGAGUAACAGCAUCCCGUUCACACAGUGA